UGAGUGGUAGGGGAGCGUUCUGUAAGUCUGCGAAGGUGUAUCGAGAGGUAUGCUGGAGAUAUCAGAAGUGCGAAUGCUGACGUAAGUAACGAUAAAGGGGGUGAAAAGCCUCCUCGCCGGAAGACCAAGGGUUCCUGUCCAACGUUAAUCGGGGCAGGGUGAGUCGACCCCUAAGGCGAGGCCGAAAGGCGUAGUCGAUGGGAAGCAGGUUAAUAUUCCUGCACGACUUGUAAUUGCGAUGGGGGGACGGAGAAGGCUAGGUGGGCCAGGCGACGGUUGUCCUGGUGAAAGUGCGUAGGUGGUGUUUCUAGGCAAAUCCGGAGACACAACACUGAGACACGAGACGAACACACUACGGUGUGGAAGCCAUUGAUGCCCUGCUUCCAGGAAAAGCCUCUAAGCUUCAGAUUACAAGUCAUCGUACCCCAAAC
RNAcentral lists this ribosomal RNA (431 nucleotides) under Aeromonas veronii bv. veronii. Its description in RNAcentral is "bacterial LSU rRNA". It matches the Rfam family "Bacterial large subunit ribosomal RNA", at positions 1222 to 1654 of the family's 2925-position model. The record is from RNAcentral. Lineage: Bacteria; Pseudomonadati; Pseudomonadota; Gammaproteobacteria; Aeromonadales; Aeromonadaceae.